GGGAAGGUGGCUCAGUGGUAGAGCUCUUGCCUUGCAUGCAUGAGGCCCUGGAUUCAAUUCCUUACCACCCCG
Molecule: transfer RNA, 72 nt
Filed under: Dipodomys ordii (Ord's kangaroo rat)
Lineage: Eukaryota; Metazoa; Chordata; Mammalia; Rodentia; Heteromyidae
Rfam family: tRNA
About the family: Transfer RNA (tRNA) molecules are approximately 80 nucleotides in length. Their secondary structure includes four short double-helical elements and three loops (D, anti-codon, and T loops). Further hydrogen bonds mediate the characteristic L-shaped molecular structure. tRNAs have two regions of fundamental functional importance: the anti-codon, which is responsible for specific mRNA codon recognition, and the 3' end, to which the tRNAs corresponding amino acid is attached (by aminoacyl-tRNA synthetases). tRNAs cope with the degeneracy of the genetic code in two manners: having more than one tRNA (with a specific anti-codon) for a particular amino acid; and 'wobble' base-pairing, i.e. permitting non-standard base-pairing at the 3rd anti-codon position.
Source: Rfam by way of RNAcentral